This 551-nucleotide ribosomal RNA is filed under the name Diversispora celata. RNAcentral describes it as "SSU rRNA". It matches the Rfam family "Eukaryotic small subunit ribosomal RNA", at positions 548 to 1098 of the family's 1831-position model. Lineage: Eukaryota; Fungi; Glomeromycota; Glomeromycetes; Diversisporales; Diversisporaceae. The record is from RNAcentral. RNAcentral also lists the same sequence under 1 other name.
UUGGAGGGCAAGUCUGGUGCCAGCAGCCGCGGUAAUUCCAGCUCCAAUAGCGUAUAUUAAAGUUGUUGCAGUUAAAAAGCUCGUAGUUGAACUUCGGGGUUUACCCAUUGGUCAGGCUUAAUUGUCUGUACUGGUGAGAUAAAUCUCUACCUUCUGAGGAACUUUCAUGUCAUUAAUUUGGUGUGAUUGGAAAUCAGGACUGUUACUUUGAAAAAAUUAGAGUGUUUAAAGCAGGCUAACGUCUGAAUACAUUAGCAUGGAAUAAUGAAAUAGGACGGAUUGAUUCUAUUUCGUUGGUUUCUAGGAUCACCGUAAUGAUUAAUAGGGAUAGUUGGGGGCAUUAGUAUUCAAUUGUCAGAGGUGAAAUUCUUGGAUUUAUUGAAGACUAACUACUGCGAAAGCAUUUGCCAAGGAUGUUUUCAUUAAUCAAGAACGAAAGUUAGGGGAUCGAAGACGAUCAGAUACCGUCGUAGUCUUAACCAUAAACUAUGCCGACUAGGGAUCGGACGAAGUUAAUUUUAUAAUGACGCGUUCGGCGCCUUACGGGAAAC